RNAcentral lists this small RNA (737 nucleotides) under Pongo abelii (Sumatran orangutan). RNAcentral's name for it is "retained intron". Lineage: Eukaryota; Metazoa; Chordata; Mammalia; Primates; Hominidae. The record is from RNAcentral.
ACCACUUUUGCAUCCAUCGGCCUCUGGCGUGCCUGCCAUGACAUCAUAGCUCUGCGGAGGUGGAAGUUGGGGAGCUUUGAGCCCUCCUCUGUAAAAUGGAAACUCUGUCCCCUUGCUUGUCUUAGGACCUCAUGGAUCCCAGGGGGACCAAGAGAGAAGCUGAGAAGACAGAGGUAGCUGAGCCUCGGAACAAACUACCUCGUCCAGCACCUUCUCUGCCCACAGACCCUGCCCUCUACUCUGGGCCCUUUCCUUUCUACCGGCGCCCUUCGGAACUGGGCUGCUUCUCCCUGGAUGCUCAACGCCAGUACCAUGGAGAUGCCCGAGCCCUGCGCUACUAUAGCCCACCCCCCACUAACGGUCCAGGCCCCAACUUUGACCUCAGAGACGGAUACCCGGAUCGAUACCAGCCCCGGGACGAGGAGGUCCAAGAAAGGCUGGACCACCUGCUGUGCUGGCUUCUGGAACACCGAGGCCGGUUGGAGGGGGGUCCAGGCUGGCUGGCAGAGGCCAUAGUGACGUGGCGGGGGCACCUCACAAAACUGCUGACGACACCGUAUGAGCGGCAGGAGGGCUGGCAGCUGGCAGCCUCCCGGUUCCAGGGAACACUAUACCUAAGUGAAGUGGAGACGCCAAACGCUCGGGCCCAGAGGCUUGCUCGGCCACCGCUCCUCCGGGAGCUUAUGUACAUGGGAUACAAAUUUGAGCAGUACAUGUGUGCAGGUGAGUUGCCCCUG